UUAAAAAGGUAAUAGAGAGGUUAUAUGGCUGGCUUGAAACCAGUAGACGUGGGUUCGAUUCCUACCCUUUUUG
Molecule: transfer RNA, 73 nt
Filed under: Hypogeophis rostratus
Lineage: Eukaryota; Metazoa; Chordata; Amphibia; Gymnophiona; Indotyphlidae
Description: tRNA-Ser
Rfam family: tRNA
About the family: Transfer RNA (tRNA) molecules are approximately 80 nucleotides in length. Their secondary structure includes four short double-helical elements and three loops (D, anti-codon, and T loops).
Source: RNAcentral